Non-coding RNA from Cinara cedri, 391 nucleotides. NCBI's taxonomy places the organism in Eukaryota, Metazoa, Arthropoda, Insecta, Hemiptera, Aphididae. The record is from the annotation of a GenBank genome assembly.
GGAAUAAGUACUACUAACAAGUAUAUUUCCACUAAGCCAGAUUUUUAAUGUUAACGCGUCACUUUUUUUAUCUAUACAAUAAAAUUUACAUUAACAAAAAUAAUUGAAUACGUUUUUACAAUGUGCGCAGCGAUUAUUUUUGUUGGAUUUCAAAAUUGUUACAAGUAUUUCGGGUGCAGUUUCGAAGAGAGGACGCAACAACAAACCAACGUUAACGAUAAACGUUUUUGAACUGGGUAUAAAGUACGUUAUAGUCGUACGCUUGCUGUUGUUGACUAGGUAACACACAAAUCGCAGGUUUUUCACGUUUAUCGUGAUAACUGCGAGAAAAAUCUAAACACGACCUAAAUGCGCAAACCGGAUAGAAAAACGCUACCAGAAUGUCGCUGCG